UUCUCUCUCUAAACCCAAAACAGAUCUCUCUCACCACCAUCUGCAACACACAAAUUCCACCAUGCCGACGAUUUAAUAUCAAGUUUGUGUUGAUUCGUCAUCGCCGCCACACUCUAAAGCCGAAGAAAACGAGAUCCAAACCUCUCAACGCACAUAUUCAUCAGCUUCUCCCUCUUCACAAACCAGUGUUAGUGAUUUGAUGAUGCAAGGGAUAUCGAUGCAAAGAGAAGAAAUCAUGUGCUGCACAGAUGGGCUGAUUGAAAUUAACAAAGAUUUGUCCGCUGCACAUAAGAGCAAUAUUAUGGAGUUGUCGUUCCGAUAUCUAUUGGACAUGAAGACCCCCAUAAAAAUGAAUGGAAAUGUGUUGAGGGAAUUAUGGCCUAGUUGGGAUGCAAGGAGCUUUGGUUUCUUAAUUGCAUAAUUUUUCUGUUGUUAGGUUGAUCCACUUAAAGACAACCAAUUUUAAACGUAGGAAAAAAGAAUGACUACGCCUUUGCAAAAUUGUGGUUACAUUGUUCAUUUCUUUAGUUAUAUGGAAUUUUCUUGUGUAAAAAAUAUCAAUUUAUCCGUGAGAUAUAAAAUAUUACUACCUUCCAUGUUA
Medicago truncatula (barrel medic) is the source of this 601-nucleotide long non-coding RNA. RefSeq lists it as uncharacterized. The record is from RefSeq and is a predicted model, not a curated record. The transcript has 3 exons. NCBI's taxonomy places the organism in Eukaryota, Viridiplantae, Streptophyta, Magnoliopsida, Fabales, Fabaceae.